RNAcentral lists this ribosomal RNA (433 nucleotides) under uncultured bacterium. RNAcentral's name for it is "partial 16S ribosomal RNA". It matches the Rfam family "Bacterial small subunit ribosomal RNA", at positions 29 to 507 of the family's 1533-position model. The record is from RNAcentral.
AACGAACGCUGGCGGCAUGCCUAACACAUGCAAGUCGAACGAGACCUUCGGGUCUAGUGGCGCACGGGUGCGUAACGCGUGGGAAUCUGCCCUUGGGUUCGGAAUAACAGUUGGAAACGACUGCUAAUACCGGAUGAUGACGUAAGUCCAAAGAUUUAUCGCCCAAGGAUGAGCCCGCGUAGGAUUAGCUAGUUGGUGAGGUAAAGGCUCACCAAGGCGACGAUCCUUAGCUGGUCUGAGAGGAUGAUCAGCCACACUGGGACUGAGACAUGGCCCAGACUCCUACGGGAGGCAGCAGUGGGGAAUAUUGGACAAUGGGCGAAAGCCUGAUCCAGCAAUGCCGCGUGAGUGAUGAAGGCCUUAGGGUUGUAAAGCUCUUUUACCCGGGAUGAUAAUGACAGUACCGGGAGAAUAAGCUCCGGCUAACUCCAUG